AUGUGCAUCACCGCCCAUUAUAUCAAUGCAGAAUUCAACUACAAGAAGAAGACCAUAAGUUUCGCAGAAGUGAAGUAUCCCCACACAGGCUAUGUGAUAGAGGAAGAAAAAUGGGGCAUAAGAGGCAAAUUAUUCACUUUGACACUAGAUAAUGCUAGCAAUAAUACUAAUGCAUGUGAGGAGUUGAUAAAAUAUCACAAACAUGAGCUGCUCCUUGAAGGUCAACAUUUGCAUGUCAGGUGUUGUGGGCACAUUCUUAAUAUCUUGGUUCAGGAUGGAAUGAAAAUAAUCCAUGAAGCUAUUGACAUGAUACGUGAGCUGAUGAAGUAUAUUGACUCUUCUCCUUCAAGACUUCAAGAUUUCAAUACAAUUGCAAGUGGGAUGGGUCUGCGUGCAAAGAAAGGCAUCUUUGUUGAUACACCAACCAGAUGGAACUCAACCUGGAAAAUGCUUGUAGAA
Molecule: ribosomal RNA, 459 nt
Filed under: Triticum aestivum (bread wheat)
Lineage: Eukaryota; Viridiplantae; Streptophyta; Magnoliopsida; Poales; Poaceae
Description: partial small subunit ribosomal RNA
Source: RNAcentral